GUCCUUCCGACUCCCAGGCCCUGUGGUCUAUCUAGGCCACGCGGGUUCUCGACCUGGAAGACUAAUGACUUCCAAACUUCGACGCUUCGCUCCAGGAAGAAUCCCCAGGUUGUUUUCUUCCAUGCCUUUGUGUGUCACUGAGCCCUACUUUCCUCUUAGACUGGCAGCCUUCUGAGGGCCAGGGAGCGUGUCUCUUUUUAGUCUGUGUACUUUUCCCCAGGGUUGCACAUUGAGCAUCCUUAAUAAAUUUUAUUAUUACCA
Long non-coding RNA from Ornithorhynchus anatinus (platypus), 261 nucleotides. RefSeq lists it as uncharacterized. The transcript is spliced from 2 exons. The record is from RefSeq and is a predicted model, not a curated record. NCBI's taxonomy places the organism in Eukaryota, Metazoa, Chordata, Mammalia, Monotremata, Ornithorhynchidae.